This 318-nucleotide ribosomal RNA is filed under the name Helicobacter pylori. Its description in RNAcentral is "bacterial SSU rRNA". It matches the Rfam family "Bacterial small subunit ribosomal RNA", at positions 405 to 740 of the family's 1533-position model. The record is from RNAcentral. Lineage: Bacteria; Pseudomonadati; Campylobacterota; Epsilonproteobacteria; Campylobacterales; Helicobacteraceae.
AGGAUGAAGGUUUAAGGAUUGUAAACUCCUUUUGUUAGAGAAGAUAAUGACGGUAUCUAACGAAUAAGCACCGGCUAACUCCGUGCCAGCAGCCGCGGUAAUACGGAGGGUGCAAGCGUUACUCGGAAUCACUGGGCGUAAAGAGCGCGUAGGCGGGAUAGUCAGUCAGGUGUGAAAUCCUAUGGCUUAACCAUAGAACUGCAUUUGAAACUACUAUUCUAGAGUGUGGGAGAGGUAGGUGGAAUUCUUGGUGUAGGGGUAAAAUCCGUAGAGAUCUAGAGGAAUACUCACAGCGAAGGCGUCCUGCUGGAACAUUAC